ACACCCCACUAUGCCUGUCACACACACACACACCUGUCACCCCCUACAUAUCUGUCACCCCCCACACAUACCCGUCACACACCCCACACACCUGUCACACUCCUCCACACCUGUCACUCCUACACACACCUGUCACACCCCACCAUGCCCAUCACCCCCGCACCUGCACCUGUAACCCCUGAGCUACAACACCUCCUUUGCUCACCAAGAUGGAGACAGUCGUUCGCAUCAGAUCACACGUGGUUUCCUGCCACAAUGCUGCAGAAUCGCGGGCUGCAGGGAAGUGUGUGGAUGGAAACUCAGCAGCAGGCUAGCCCAGUGAGCCAGGUGGGCUCUUGCGAGUGGGCUGCCACCUGUGCUCUCCAGUAGCCUCACAGCGUCGCGCCCCUGCCCUCGCCUGCCUUGCCCCCUUCUGUACCACGUCCUGUUCCUCUCUGCGCAAGCCCAGGUCGGCUGUGAGGUCACGACCUCUGAGCCGUAAGGAUGCUGAUGUCCCCUGGCCACCAUCGGUCAGUUGGAGGUGUCCGAUCACCACCAUCACUAAGUCUUCAGAGCCGGCACUGGGGUCACCUAGGCUGCCUGGGGUGGUGAGGUCCCCAGUGGGUUCCCGACACAGAGGGCAGGAAGGGGGCCGCGGGCGAGCCUCACUCUGCAGAUGGCGUCCAGUGCUUCCUGACUGGUAGGAGAGUAAGGAGGAGACUUAGAAACGCAGGACCCUUGGAGGAGGUUCCCUCAUGGAGCCCUCCCUGUCGCUGGCUGCUUAGAGGCUUUAGAAACAUGGCUUUUUCCCGUGGCUUUAGAAUCAUGCCCUUCGAUCGCAGCAGUUUGUAACCCUGCCCACCACAGGGCUUUGCAGAAACUUGUGGGAUUCCUGGGGCUUGCUGAAUCUAUAGAGUAUUUGGAUAAGACCAUGCUCUUGUGCAGUGAGCUUUUCUGACGAUUUGUGGACCAGGGGCCGUGACCAGUGGGAAGGUGCUGAGCUCGGAGCCCCACUCCUGGCUCGAGACUCCUGUCACUUCAUCUCGGGUCUCUUCACGCCCUGUGAUGGAAAUAGGCCCCAAUUUAUCCUGAAGCUCAGUUGUCUGAAUCCCACGUGAAAGCCCAGCACAGCUUGGGUAUAGAGACAACCCGUCCAGAAACCACUGGAAGGCCUCAGUGAUCUUUAGUCUGAGCUGACACUGUGAACAAAUAUCCUACCCAGCUUGUUCUCCACGUGCUGGUUCUUUAGUUUUGUUUUUAUGUUUUUGAAGAGCUAUAUCAAGGCUUCUUCAGAAAUUAGAUUUAGAUAGAACAUCCCUGGUGGUAGAGUGGGUUAAGAAUCUGCCUGCCAAUGCAGGGGACACAGGUUGGACCCCUGGGCCGGGAAGGUUUCACAGGUCUCAGGCAGCUGCAGCGUGUGCACCACGACAGCUGGAGCCUGUGUGCCCAGGGCUCAUGCUCCGCGACGAGAAGCCACCACAGUUAGAGUGCAGUGCAGCACACUCCAUGCGCUGCAAUGAAGAGUAGCCCCCAUCUCUGCAACUAGAGAAAGCCUGCCUGCAGCGACAAAGAUCCAGCAUGGCCAAAAAUUAAUUAAUUAAUGUUUAAAAGUGUUCUUCUGAAAGAAAAAAGAAAUCUAAUUUAGAUAAACAGAGAAGGAUUAAUGUUGAGUUUCCAAGCUCUGCCCCACAAGAAGGAAGAUGUGGUGAAGUUACUGUGACCAUGACUUCACAGCUGGAGAACGAGAUCUCCGAGGCCUGCGGGGCCCAGACUAAGCCUCAGUGAGUCUCCUGGUAGAGAGUAAUCCAACUUUCAAAGAGGACAGAAACCAACCGGUGUCUGCAGAUUGCUGGCUCUGCUGGGGCAUUGCCGGGUAGUCGAGGCGCCUGAUCGGAUCAGAUGCCUUACCCCUGGGAAGUUAGAGUGGAGUCAGGGAGAGCAGGUUAAACAGUGUUUAAAAUAUAAAUAACAAUUCUGGGAGACAGAGCCGCGCUCUAGAUGGCCCCCAGCAGCUGCCGGUGAGUCGUAGAGGCCGGUGAAUCCAGGUUUAGGUUCAGGACUCUUAGAGGCCAUUUCAGGAGAAGCAGAGAUGGAGCAAAGCCGCAGGGGCUGUUGCUUCUCUGCCUCAAGUGGCAUCUCUGGGUCACAUAGGAAGUGCAGUGUCAUCAGCAUGGGGGACACAUAUCCAGCCUUGAUUCUGCGUCUGUCAAGUGCAGGCAAGGUCAACUGAUAGAACCUCCUCCAGAAACCAGCCUGUGAGACCCUCCUUGGGGAGGGUCCGUGGCCCCCCAUGCUGUCCUCAGUCCGGGCGACCUUUCCAGGUGCCAGAUGGAAACACAGGGGAUCCCCUGCCCACUCCCCUGAGGAGUGUGGGACCCGGCCACACCCCUCUGUGGGCUGCUACCUGAGACCUGAGACGGGAUCCACGGGGCCGGAAUCAUGGGACCUGAGACCUGAGACGGGGUCCGCGGGGCCAGGGUCGUGGGACCUGAGACCUGAGACGGGGUUCGCGGGGCCGGGGUCGUGGGACCUAAGACGGGUCCACAGGGCCGGGGUCAUGGGACCUAGGACCUGAGACGAGACGGGGUCCAUGGGGCCGGGGUCGUGGGACCUGAGACCAGUCCACAGGGCUGGGGUCGUGGGACCUGAGACCUGAGACAGGGUCCGCUGGGCCGGGGUCGUGGGACCUGAGACGGGUCCGUGGGGCUGGGGUCGUGGGACCUGAGACCUGAGACGGGGUCCACGGGGCCAGGGUCAUGGGACCUGGGACCUGAGACGGGGUCCGUGGGGCCAGGGUCGUGCGACCUGAGACCGGUCCGCAGGGCUGGGGUCGUGGAACCUGAGACCUGAGACGGGGUCCGUGGGGCCGGGGUCGUGGGACCUGGGACCUGAGACCUGAGACAGGUCCGCAGGGCAGGGGUCAUGCGGCCUGAGGCCUGAGAUGGGGUCCGCGGGGCUGCUCGUUUUCGUGGCCACCAGGGGCAUGGCGUCAUUACAGAGUCAAUUAGAGUGCGUGCGUGCCGGUCCUGUUGAUUUGAUUUAGAGCGAGGAAAGCUCCAGUAAUGUGCAAUUACAAGAAACUUAAUGGCCCUUUAUACUGAAGGCAACUUCCAUGGCACCUAAUAUACUUUGAUGAAUUACUCAUUAUGUGCAGUGUUGGAAUAGUUUCUAUAAAGAUUAAUAAUUGGAUAAUCAAUACAAAAAUUCAAUCUUGGUUUUUGCUUUUUUCCUACUCCAGGGUCAAUAUGUCCUGAAGAUUAUGGGACCUGUCUCAUUUGCCCGAAUUUUCUGCCUCCCUGCUUCACUCUCUUUCCGAUGUUUUCCAAAUUAGGAGUUUACACAUCGAUUACCAAGUUGGUGUUGCACUUUUUUCUUCAUGCCUUCUGUGGUGGUUUUUUUUUUCCUGUCCAAAUCUUUAUGGAUCUGCUCUUUAUGGAGUGAGCAAACAGGUUCUGCUGUUAGUGGGUUUUGUCAACCCGCAGGUACAGUUGACCCUCCAGGUGGGCUCGUGCCGUGAGGAGGUCGGGGGUUAGCUGGCGAGGCUGGCCACGGGACUGCAUGUCCGGGUCACCCUGUGUGAGCUGGGCCCGAGCUGAGGUGGGGACGCAGGCAGACAUGACGGCCUGGGGCCGGUGAGAUUCAGGAGGGACUCUGGAGCCAGGAGGUUGGGCAUGCUGCCGUAUAGCGGCCGUGCCUGCACCCUCGGAGACAAGGACAUCCAUCCCUCUGUGCCCAGCAUGGGGGGCUAGGGGCUCCAAGGCCAUUAGUUGACACUGAACUAGGGGCAUAACCCAGUGAACAGGCGAGAGGUCCAUGCCAAGCCCCUGCCACCAGCCUCGCCCCCCAGUGAGCAGCCAGAAGCUCUUAGCUGUCCGUCCAUGGGCUGCCCGGGGUCUGCAGCACAAAACCUCUUCUCAGUGAUUUGAACGAUAGUUUAGAAUAUUCUAAAGGUGAGGAAAACGUGCUUUUCUGUCCACAGGGACAUGGGCGUGGACUUCAGCACAGCAGCUCUAGAGACUUCUCUUCUGUGGCACCCAGAAGGUUUCCUGUCUGCCCCCCAGCCAGCCCAGGGCUCCCUAGACGUUCGUGGGUGCGAACUGAGUCCCUGGCGUCUGCUUAGCAUGUCCGGUCCCUGGGAUCUUGUUAGAGUGUUCGGUGGGCCUGGAUGGGGCUCGGGGUCUGCCACAGGCGGCACAGCGUCCCUGGCUGGCAGGAGCUCCGGGCCUGGGCCAGGCAGGGGAGGUGGCCAGUCCGAGCAGGGUGGGGUGAUGGCCCAGUAGGGCACAGGCCCGUGUGUCACUGGUCAUCGUAGGAUGGCGGAUGCUGGGUCUGCCUGUCCCCAGCUUCCUUCUGACCCUGGUGCUUGGUCAUGAAAGGGGACAAAAGGACUGCGUGCGGGUCCCUGGCCCCUUACAAGGUUCCCCGCCGUGGGGGAGGGGACAGCGGCAGUCACCCCUCUGCCCUGUGUUGCCUUCAGACGCAGUCCUCUCAUCGGCCAUGUGCGGACGCAGUCAAACCAGACAGACCUACUGCUGAUGCUCGGGGGGCUGAGGGCUUAGUUCAGGGUCACGGUUAGCUUUGAGGCAGGGUUUCUCUUCCUGUGAACCCAUGUCUCCGGAGCUUCCUUCAUUGGCAGCGUCUUUCGACCAAAACUGGUGCCAGCUGAGAGGUCAUGGAUCCUGCACCGGAUGGUCCUAAGAGCCCCAGACUCGGAGCAGGCACCUCUGACCUCACUGACCGCCCCCCUCCCCCCCGGCCCCACAGAGAAGGACUGGCCCCAUGCUGACUGUCGCGGGUCCAGGGAUGCCCGCAACCGGGAAGGGGGCCCGAGCUCCCUAAGCCAGGGACAGGGCACGCCUGCCAAAACCACAGCGGCUCCUUGUCGAGGUCUAUUUGUUUAAUUUUACUUUUUAAUUAAACGGGUCUCUUAAUUGUUUUUAUUUUUCCAACUUUGUUAAUUGUCAGCAUAGGAACUUCAUCACUGGGGCAAUGUGUUCCCCAGUGGCACAAAGCAGGCCCGGGAAAAGUGCUUGUUGGUGGUUUAAUGACCCCAGUGAGUAAUGCGGAGCGAGCUUGGCACAGCUAGAAUAAUGGCCCAGGUCACAUGGAAGGCGUCCACCGCACACACCAGCGGGAGGCCAGGGGCGAGCGGGGACCCUCCCGUCACGUGGCCCCCACUCCCCACGGACGCUGCAGUUUCCACACGGGCCGUUUGCAUUAUUUGGAGUAUUCAGGCUAAAUGAGGAAGUGGCCAUGGAGGCAGGACAAUUAUUCUGUUUUAAUGGCUGGCAGCCCCGCGUAACAGAGGUGCCUGUCAGGGCCAACCCGCAUCCAGCUGGGAGGGUCAUGUUUUAUUAAAACCGUGACUGUUGUCAUCCAGCCCCUCUGCCAUCCCAUUCUCUCCUUCCAAAAAUAGCAGGCCCCGUGGCAGUGGCUUAUUAUGAUUAAAAAGAUAAAAAUAAGUGAAGGCUGAAAUAGGUCCAGGACACCCGAGGUAACACGAGAACUUACUUUUUAAUGAAACUUGAGAAACUGUUUUAUUUUCCACUGCCUCACAAAGCAUCUCUGGAAAAAAAGAAAAAGUGAAGAAUGAUUUUAGUGCUGUUGCAACUCUGCAUUUUCAGAAUUACGGCAGUUGUGAUGCACACGUGGCAAAAAUCACCGUUUUCAGUCCAGAGUCUUACAGGGCGGCACCUCCUCAGGGAGGGAAAGGGGCUGCGGGUGGACCAGACAUGGUCACGCUGGACCUGGGAGACUGCCCAGUGCCCACCUGUGAGGGAGGUGGACUUGCCACGAGGUCGCCUCUUCUCAGGAAACUGAACACCCACACAGAGCCACACCUCAUGCUUCCUGCACGGGGCACACACUCCCCUGGUGCCUCUGCUCUCUGAACUGUGGCCUUAACCGUGUUGAAUCAUGGCUUAGCUCAAGUCCACAGAGACAACCGAGUGUGCCUGCCUGUAUCCAGUGCAAAUGGGGACACAUCCAUCCCAUCGGUGACGGAAUCAGGAGUGAACGUCCUUAUGUCUGCAAGGACGCACAGCCACCAGAAAGGGCUUCCUUACCCAAGAAUCACUAGGUUUGCAGGCAAGCACAGCAAUCAUGAUCCGGAGACUUCCUAGAAGUUAGUUCCUUAAGAAUAGAUUCGGCUGAGACAUUUCUGCUUCCGUCCACCUAAAUUAUCAUCCUCUUAAGUUACUUACAUACUAACUUUAGCCAAAGGUGCAUUUUCUGGGAAAGUUAGCAAAUACUUUUUUAAAUUAUCUUUUAGUUAUAGGAAUGGGAAAGAAUAUCCUUCCUGUUUUGUUUUGCUCUUCAGAAAGCUAUUUUGGCUUUCCCUUAAAAAUAAGAAUGAUUUUGAUGACUUGUCCUCUAGAAGGAUGUGCGUUUUUCUACCCCUUGGAGGAAGAUGGAGUGAAGAAGUAAUAGUUGCUCUUGUGCCGUAUACUUACUUAUGUGCUGUAUUUAAUUUGAUCAUGAGCUUUGAUGGAAAGUCAUGGGAUCUCGUACGGCAUGGGGUGGUGCGUUCGCGCUGAGAUGGGGACAGAAUUCUGUGGGAACCCCUUGGGGGAGUCACCAAGACUUUCUUUGUUUCUUAUAUUGCUCUUGUCUAAAGGACAGUGAUGCUCUAAAGAACUAGUUCUCUUCGUUAAAAAAGCAACAUCACAGCAUGUUGUAAAACCAGAAAUGGAAAAAAAUGACAGUGUCCCUGCUGGGCUGACUAGUUUGCUAAGUAGCAGUAGAUAAAUACUGUCAGUUUUUAAAAAUCCAUAGUACAAUUCGAUUCCUUAUUGGAACGUAACUAUCAAAAAAGAGAAUGAUGUUUUAAAGUGUAUUGUAUGUAGUUAGGUAUGUAAUUUGGAGAAGGAAAUGGCAACCCAGUCCAGUAUUCUUGCCUGGAGAAUCCCAUGGACAGAAGGGUCUAGCAGGCUACCAUCCAUGGGGUCACAAAAAGUCAGACACGACUAAGUGACUAACACACACACAGGUAUGUAAUUAGGCAUUAUAUCAACAAAUACUUUUUUUUUUAAUUGACACAAAAGUAUUAUUUGUAAGGCAUGGUCUUUAUCUGAGUAAGUUAACUUGAAAGCAAGGAUUAAACCGUGAGGCAAGGUUAACAUUGCUGAGCUAGAUUGUUACUCUCUGAGCCCAAACCCAGGCCUGAGAGACCAGGAGAUAGCUGUGUGAAGACAGCCGGAGGCUUCUGGCACCUGCUUCUCCUGGUCCUUCCUGCCCCGUGCCUGCAGCAGGAGGGCAGAGCCCGCCACCCGUGCGAACAGGCCACUGUCCUGCGUGUCACUGAGCCCAUGUCCAGCAAGAGCCCAGCAACACUGCUGGUGUCUGUGACCCACUCAGGGACGUGGCGAUGUCAUUAACCGGAGAAACCUACACGGGUCCUCUUCUGACAGGACAGGGAUCCACGCGGGACAUCAGGAACGUGGAAACUGAGAGCGGAGGGGCCGGGCCCACGUCCCGUCUUGUGUCUCGUGGUUGAACCCAGACUUCUCAGGGGCUUUAGAACAGGGCGGCCGCCCCUCACACAGCUGGUCAGGUUCUCUCUUACCGGUAGUCGGUAACUGAAAGUUCCCCGGAAGGCACUGGAGCAGCUCUGCUCCCUCUGCAGAGGCCAGAGGCGAGGCUGAUGGGGCCUCCUCAGCCGCUGUCCCGCUGCGCGGACACAGACCAGACCCCAGGGCCUCCCAGCGCAGGCUGCGGUGAGCCAGCCCACGGUGAGGCGACCGCUGUGUCUCCUGCCCUCCUGGUCCCGUCCACAGCGAUCCGAACAGUGAUCACCCCAGGGGGCUGGGAGGCACCGCGUCAUGCCUCGCCUAUCCCCGGCACAGGGAGCUCGAGUCCAGGAGGGGUCUGUUCUCCAUCUGACAGGACUGAGUUGGCGAUUCACGGGGCGGAAAGGGCCUCAGGCACGCCCAUGCCUUCAUAGCAGGACCUGCAGGCCCCAGGGAGCAGGCCGCUCCCUCGGGGAGCUGGAGGCCAGGUGAGGACGCCCAGCGGCCUGUGCAGCCCUGGCCCCACUGCACUCUGUGUUCUGACUCUGACCACGUGCCGUCCUGUAUCUCCCGGGGUCUCGGGAACCUGCGGGUGUCAGGACCCUGGGUUUUCCAUUGUACUCAUUCUUUCCUCUCUCAGAGCAAAGUGAUACUACUAUCACCGUGUUCAAAGUCCCGAUUUAUUCUAGAGUCAAACCCAGAAGCACACAUAUUGUGUCUUCACUUAGGGUAGGAAGUGGGGCACUUGGUGAUAAAGUCUCGGACAGAUAAGGUGGGGAUGCUGGCGAUGAGGAGCCACCUCGGGGCCACAGGAAUGAGAGGUGAUCAUAAGCAGGAGGGACGUGUGGAUGGUGGGCAGCUGCCACUUGGAUGUCAGACCUUAAAACUGGGCAGAGCCUGCUGGAGCUGCAAGAAGCCUGUCUGGCUGGGAGCAGCUCUCGGAGCCCCUGCCUGUCGGCACCAUGCGCAGGCACCACUGCGGGGGCGGGGUGCUGUUUCUGAGGCCCCUCCUGGCCUUGGACCCGCACCCACAGCGAGGGGCACCUGCAGGCUCGGCUGCCUGCAAUGUGGGAGCCGGGGCCAGCUGCCCACGUGCAGCUCCUCCAGGUCAGGGGAAAUGGUCAGCACAGAGACCCUGUGGAUUCCUUGGUCGCCUGCAACGUCUCUCCCUUAAAAAAAAAAAAAAGUUUCUAAAGCACAGAAAAGCAAUACAGGAAAAACGAAAGACAAAGUCUUUCUGGCUCAAACAGUGCACUGUGUGUGUAUGUGUGGUGGUGGGUGGGUGUGGAUUUUUUGUUUUGAAAACAUGCCGUGGAAAAGGAGACGAAAGACUGUGGCCUCGGCCUCUCUGGCCUCUGUGUUCUGAGCACCUUGCGGGUGAGGACGGUGAGGGUCAGGGGCAGAGAGGGCCUGGCGGGGGCCAACCCUGCAGGAGGGCGAGCGAGCAGGGCUUUGCCAGCCUGGCUGCCAGGGUCCCUGCCCCUGUGUGCGUCUCGCCAGCCUUUCCGACUUUCAUAGUCAAUACUGAGAAAGAGCAGGUCACGCGGCCCCGUGGAGCCCAAGGGAGCAGUCUGGAAGCUUCCAGACCCGUGGUGUGUGCAGGUAGGGAGGGGCGGCCCCAGGCUGAGGUCACCAGGUCAGGGUCUCAGCUUCUCACCUUCUCUCAGGGGCCAGGAUGGCUGAGCCUCCCCACCUUUACCUCCAUAGGAUUGCUGCAGGAUAAUACACAUGCAGGGGCUUAGAAACUAACCGUAGGAGUUGGGUAAAUAGUUUGUUCAUUCCUUAUGAUCUGUCUUGAGAUCUGUAGUUGCAUUCAGAAACCAAGAAUUCAGAAACGUGGGAACGUUUACUUAAAGGUCAGACGUUGAAAGGAGAGAAAUAUGUAAAAAACUAC
Long non-coding RNA from Cervus elaphus (red deer), 9381 nucleotides. RefSeq lists it as uncharacterized. NCBI's taxonomy places the organism in Eukaryota, Metazoa, Chordata, Mammalia, Artiodactyla, Cervidae. The transcript is spliced from 2 exons. The record is from RefSeq and is a predicted model, not a curated record.